Neomonachus schauinslandi (Hawaiian monk seal) is the source of this 632-nucleotide long non-coding RNA. RefSeq lists it as uncharacterized. The transcript is spliced from 3 exons. NCBI's taxonomy places the organism in Eukaryota, Metazoa, Chordata, Mammalia, Carnivora, Phocidae. The record is from RefSeq and is a predicted model, not a curated record.
GUAACUCAAAGAAGCCUCGCACACAGACGCAUGCACGCACGCAGACCUCUUUUGAUACCUCAGGGACACUGAGAACUAAGGGAUUCCGAGGCCAGGUAGGAGAGCUGCAGCCCUGGAAGGAAGCCCGGGCUGUAGGGCUGCCAGGCCCCACUGGUCUUCUACCCAAAGACAGAGGAGAAUGUCUUUCCUGGGUAAACUCUCCUUCCAGUGACCUUCCUGAGUGAUCCUGUCCUUACUGACAGUGCAGGAUGCCCAGGACUGGCUGGCUUAUCAGCAAAAUGCACCUCUUUUUAAAUUAUGCUGCCUGUUUUCCCUGAAGAGGAAAGCUCUGUCUAAUCCAAAUAAUAUAGGGGAAAUGUUUGUAACUGUGAUGUCACUGUCUGUGGUUGGAAAUUAAAAAGCAGAGAGGACAUAUGCCAACAUCUGCCUCUGGGAUUUCUUUACCUGUCUCUCAAUACAGUAGCAGAGCCUCUGAGACCUCAGACCAUUCACCGUUAUCUUUGGUCGUCAAGAGGACAAACACCUCUAGCCCUAAAGCAUGCAUUAUCACAAUCAUUGGGUUUAAAAAUAUAUAGAUAGUUUCAAUAAAAGGGAUGACUAGAUUAAAAAAAAUAAGAAAGUUUGUUAACUAA